ACAUACGACCAUAGACUGAGGAGAACUAGGCAUCCCGUCCGCUCUGCCAUCUAUAAGCCUCAGAUCGGCAGAUCAGUAGUUAAGUGGGUGACCAUUAGCGAAUCCCUGCUGUUGUAUGUU
Molecule: ribosomal RNA, 120 nt
Filed under: Mollisia scopiformis
Lineage: Eukaryota; Fungi; Ascomycota; Leotiomycetes; Helotiales; Mollisiaceae
Source: RNAcentral